This 2803-nucleotide ribosomal RNA is filed under the name Escherichia coli. Its description in RNAcentral is "partial 23S ribosomal RNA". It matches the Rfam family "Bacterial large subunit ribosomal RNA". The record is from RNAcentral. Lineage: Bacteria; Pseudomonadati; Pseudomonadota; Gammaproteobacteria; Enterobacterales; Enterobacteriaceae.
GGGUUGUGAGGUUAAGCGACUAAGCGUACACGGUGGAUGCCCUGGCAGUCAGAGGCGAUGAAGGACGUGCUAAUCUGCGAUAAGCGUCGGUGAGGUGAUAUGAACCGUUAUAACCGGCGAUUUCCGAAUGGGGAAACCCAGUGUGUUUCGACACACUAUCAUUAACUGAAUCCAUAGGUUAAUGAGGCGAACCGGGGGAACUGAAACAUCUAAGUACCCCGAGGAAAAGAAAUCAACCGAGAUUCCCCCAGUAGCGGCGAGCGAACGGGGAGGAGCCCAGAGCCUGAAUCAGUGUGUGUGUUAGUGGAAGUGUCUGGAAAGGCGCGCGAUACAGGGUGACAGCCCCGUACACAAAAAUGCACAUGCUGUGAGCUCGAUGAGUAGGGCGGGACACGUGGUAUCCUGUCUGAAUAUGGGGGGACCAUCCUCCAAGGCUAAAUACUCCUGACUGACCGAUAGUGAACCAGUACCGUGAGGGAAAGGCGAAAAGAACCCCGGCGAGGGGAGUGAAAAAGAACCUGAAACCGUGUACGUACAAGCAGUGGGAGCCUCUUAAUGGGGUGACUGCGUACCUUUUGUAUAAUGGGUCAGCGACUUAUAUUCUGUAGCAAGGUUAACCGAAUAGGGGAGCCGAAGGGAAACCGAGUCUUAACUGGGCGUUAAGUUGCAGGGUAUAGACCCGAAACCCGGUGAUCUAGCCAUGGGCAGGUUGAAGGUUGGGUAACACUAACUGGAGGACCGAACCGACUAAUGUUGAAAAAUUAGCGGAUGACUUGUGGCUGGGGGUGAAAGGCCAAUCAAACCGGGAGAUAGCUGGUUCUCCCCGAAAGCUAUUUAGGUAGCGCCUCGUGAAUUCAUCUCCGGGGGUAGAGCACUGUUUCGGCAAGGGGGUCAUCCCGACUUACCAACCCGAUGCAAACUGCGAAUACCGGAGAAUGUUAUCACGGGAGACACACGGCGGGUGCUAACGUCCGUCGUGAAGAGGGAAACAACCCAGACCGCCAGCUAAGGUCCCAAAGUCAUGGUUAAGUGGGAAACGAUGUGGGAAGGCCCAGACAGCCAGGAUGUUGGCUUAGAAGCAGCCAUCAUUUAAAGAAAGCGUAAUAGCUCACUGGUCGAGUCGGCCUGCGCGGAAGAUGUAACGGGGCUAAACCAUGCACCGAAGCUGCGGCAGCGACGCUUAUGCGUUGUUGGGUAGGGGAGCGUUCUGUAAGCCUGUGAAGGUGUGCUGUGAGGCAUGCUGGAGGUAUCAGAAGUGCGAAUGCUGACAUAAGUAACGAUAAAGCGGGUGAAAAGCCCGCUCGCCGGAAGACCAAGGGUUCCUGUCCAACGUUAAUCGGGGCAGGGUGAGUCGACCCCUAAGGCGAGGCCGAAAGGCGUAGUCGAUGGGAAACAGGUUAAUAUUCCUGUACUUGGUGUUACUGCGAAGGGGGGACGGAGAAGGCUAUGUUGGCCGGGCGACGGUUGUCCCGGUUUAAGCGUGUAGGCUGGUUUUCCAGGCAAAUCCGGAAAACCAAGGCUGAGGCGUGAUGACGAGGCACUACGGUGCUGAAGCGACAAAUGCCCUGCUUCCAGGAAAAGCCUCUAAGCAUCAGGUAACAUCAAAUCGUACCCCAAACCGACACAGGUGGUCAGGUAGAGAAUACCAAGGCGCUUGAGAGAACUCGGGUGAAGGAACUAGGCAAAAUGGUGCCGUAACUUCGGGAGAAGGCACGCUGAUAUGUAGGUGAAGCGACUUGCUCGUGGAGCUGAAAUCAGUCGAAGAUACCAGCUGGCUGCAACUGUUUAUUAAAAACACAGCACUGUGCAAACACGAAAGUGGACGUAUACGGUGUGACGCCUGCCCGGUGCCGGAAGGUUAAUUGAUGGGGUUAGCGGCAACGCGAAGCUCUUGAUCGAAGCCCCGGUAAACGGCGGCCGUAACUAUAACGGUCCUAAGGUAGCGAAAUUCCUUGUCGGGUAAGUUCCGACCUGCACGAAUGGCGUAAUGAUGGCCAGGCUGUCUCCACCCGAGACUCAGUGAAAUUGAACUCGCUGUGAAGAUGCAGUGUACCCGCGGCAAGACGGAAAGACCCCGUGAACCUUUACUAUAGCUUGACACUGAACAUUGAGCCUUGAUGUGUAGGAUAGGUGGGAGGCUUUGAAGUGUGGACGCCAGUCUGCAUGGAGCCGACCUUGAAAUACCACCCUUUAAUGUUUGAUGUUCUAACGUUGGCCCCUAAUCGGGGUUGCGGACAGUGUCUGGUGGGUAGUUUGACUGGGGCGGUCUCCUCCUAAAGAGUAACGGAGGAGCACGAAGGUUGGCUAAUCCUGGUCGGACAUCAGGAGGUUAGUGCAAUGGCAUAAGCCAGCUUGACUGCGAGCGUGACGGCGCGAGCAGGUGCGAAAGCAGGUCAUAGUGAUCCGGUGGUUCUGAAUGGAAGGGCCAUCGCUCAACGGAUAAAAGGUACUCCGGGGAUAACAGGCUGAUACCGCCCAAGAGUUCAUAUCGACGGCGGUGUUUGGCACCUCGAUGUCGGCUCAUCACAUCCUGGGGCUGAAGUAGGUCCCAAGGGUAUGGCUGUUCGCCAUUUAAAGUGGUACGCGAGCUGGGUUUAGAACGUCGUGAGACAGUUCGGUCCCUAUCUGCCGUGGGCGCUGGAGAACUGAGGGGGGCUGCUCCUAGUACGAGAGGACCGGAGUGGACGCAUCACUGGUGUUCGGGUUGUCAUGCCAAUGGCACUGCCCGGUAGCUAAAUGCGGAAGAGAUAAGUGCUGAAAGCAUCUAAGCACGAAACUUGCCCCGAGAUGAGUUCUCCCUGAG